GCCCCCUGGAAAUGGGCAAAGAGACACCGUAUUGGUGGUGGUGUUCUCAUGUGAGUCAGGGGCAGAGCAGGGGCACUCCUUUGUUCAGCCUAGCUUGAUGCCUGGCUUGGUGGCCAAAGCUGUCUUAUGCUUAGGACACAUAA
Apodemus sylvaticus (European woodmouse) is the source of this 143-nucleotide small nucleolar RNA. RefSeq annotates it as small nucleolar RNA SNORA48. The transcript has a single exon. The record is from RefSeq and is a predicted model, not a curated record. NCBI's taxonomy places the organism in Eukaryota, Metazoa, Chordata, Mammalia, Rodentia, Muridae.